CUCACUUCUUACUCUCUCCAUAAUCAUGAAGGAACUUGGGCACUCACCUUCUCCUCUCUAAUACUUUCGCCCUUUUUCUUGUCUCUGUUUUUCUUUUUUUUUUUAUUCAGCUCCAAAUCAGAGAAGGAAACUUAUUUAUUUUGAAUUUUUUAAGGAAAGGAAAAAGAACCAGGCCAGUAAUGGAGAAAAAGCAAGGUUUUCUCUCAGCUCUCAAAGAAGAUAUAGUUCGCGGGCUUUCACCUUCCCGCUCGCGGUCCAACAGCCCUGCAAGACCCCUUUCACUCAUGUCCACUACGUUACGUGGAAACAAAGACAACCACCAUGGCGGUGCUCACGUGGUGAAACCGGAACCGUUGAUGGCGAGAUCCGGGACUGUAAGGCCAGUCGGUGAAGCGUUAUCUCCUCUCAUGGAAGGUCCGGAGCCGGACCGAGGGAAAUCCGGGGAUCCGAAGUGGGUUGGGUCGGUGAUAGGACAAUGGGUUAAAGGACAGUUUUGUACUUCCACGAACCACAGAAGGUCUAAUCUAAGGCUGUUGCUUGGAAUCAUGGGCGCCCCUUUAGCUCCAAUUCAUGUUAGCUCCAAUGAUCCUUUGCCUCACUUGAGCAUCAAAGAUACUUCCAUUGAAACUUCCUCUGCUCACUACAUAUUGCAGCAGUAUAUAGCUGCCACUGGGGUUCAAAAGUUACAAAGCUCCAUUAAGAAUGCGUAUGCAAUGGGAAAGCUCAAAAUGAUAGCUUGUGAAUACGAAACCGCCACGAGAAUUGUUAAGAGCUGUAAUGUCUCUAGAGGUGCCGAGUCCGGUUGGUUUGUACUCUGGCAAAUGAAUCCGGACAUGUGGUAUGUCGAACUUGCGGUCAGUGGCUGCAAGGUUCAUGCUGGUUGUAAUGGGAACCUUGUAUGGAGGUAUACACCUUGGCUUGGUGCACACACCGCAAAGGGGCCGGUUAGACCCUUGCGUCGUGCACUUCAGGGUCUUGACCCUAGAACUACAGCUAUCAUGUUUGCUAAUGCAAGAUGCAUAGGAGAAAAAAAUAUUAAUGGUGAAGAUUGCUUCAUCCUCAAGCUAUGUGCCGGUCCUCGGACACUCAAGGCAAGAAGUGAAGGCCCUGCAGAGAUCAUAAGGCAUGUUUUAUUUGGCUACUUCAGUCAGAAGACUGGACUACUUGUUCAAAUGGAAGAUUCACAUUUAACUCGCGUUCAAUCUACUGGCGGUGAUACGGUUUAUUGGGAAACUACAAUCAAUACAUUUCUCGAAGAUUACCAUCCUGUCGAAGGUAUCGUGAUAGCACAUUCUGGACAUACCGUCGUUACACUUUUCAGGUUUGGAGAAGUUGCAAUGAACCAUACGAAAACAAAGAUGGAAGAAACUUGGACGAUCGAAGAGGUUGCCUUUAACAUACCAGGCCUUUCUGUUGAUUGUUUUAUCCCCCCAAGUGAUUUAUCCAUCACUGAAACCUGUGAAUUCCCUCAGGAUGAAAGGGGAGAGAACGCAAUCCACCUUUAGAAGAAGCGCAGAAUGGCGGCACUGACAUCAUGAUUCGGAGAACGGAUGUAUGAUAAACCAUAGAUAGAAUCAUCACAUGUUGGCAAUGGUUCAUAUUGGUAGCUACUGCAUUUGAGUAAAACCCCUCAGAAGUUACAAGCUUUGAAUAUUCAAGAGUUUUCUACCUUAGUGGAGAGAGCUUUGAAAGUAGAGCAAGUUAAGCAAGAAGAGCAGAAAAGAAAGAAUUGGAGCCAGAUUAAGCGAGGUCAGGGACAGACUAGUUAUGCAUCAUUUCCAGCUACCAAAAGGCUAGGGAUUCUCAGGGUCAAUCAUAUUCUACACCAAUUCACACUCAAAGGCAUGGUCAGAGGCUGAGUCAGGGUUGAGUAGCUAGGUCCGUACAGCAGGUGACAUCUGUGGCCAGUACAGGAAGGUUAGUGAGAAGAUCAUCUCAGUUGAUUUGUGAGCACUGCAACAAUAGCCACUCUGGGGAGUGUUGGAGAGUUACAGGAGCAUGCUUUGGGUGUGGCUCCAAAGAUCACCUCUUCAAAGAUUGUGCUAAGAAGAUAGCCAGUAACCCUACACAAACAGAGAGAUCUGCCCCCACUUCUCAAAGAAAUAGAAAGUUUAUUAGGAAUGGCAAUGCUGGGAGUAGUCAGAGAGCUAAGAAAGAGAUUCCGAUUAAAUCAAAUACUCUGGUACCAGAACGAUGCUAUUGUAUUAAGCCACAAGAGGAGCAGGAUGUACCUGACGUUAUUAUUGGU
Gossypium raimondii (Peruvian cotton) is the source of this 2248-nucleotide RNA transcript. RefSeq lists it as uncharacterized. The transcript is spliced from 4 exons. NCBI's taxonomy places the organism in Eukaryota, Viridiplantae, Streptophyta, Magnoliopsida, Malvales, Malvaceae. The record is from RefSeq and is a predicted model, not a curated record.